AGAAUGUGGAAGAGCUCAAUGUUGGGAGCCUCUGGUUCUGAAGGGAAGCUUGGGAGGUGAAAUGACCCUUUGGCAGGUAUCAACAUGACAAGAGGGAGGCGAACCAAGGGAGUUACUAGUCAGUCCUACGAAGUCCAGUAGGUGAGACUUGGACUCAAAAUCAUGGUAUGGAAAGGAAUGAGGACCUCAAAGACCACACUUUUCAUCUCCCCGCAGCUGAAGAAAGCCAGAACAGAAAGAUGAUGCCAAACAGUAUGUUUCCAGGUCAGCAACAUGAGUUCCCAUCACAAUGUUUGUUUCUUCAAUCUGAAGGGAAUACUUUUCUCACUUCCGAAGAAAGAUUCCAUCCCUUGAGCAUCAGGGAAAAACUAUAACUUUGGAUGAAGGGUUGUGUCUGUUCAUAAAACA
Long non-coding RNA from Fukomys damarensis (Damara mole-rat), 408 nucleotides. RefSeq lists it as uncharacterized. NCBI's taxonomy places the organism in Eukaryota, Metazoa, Chordata, Mammalia, Rodentia, Bathyergidae. The transcript is spliced from 3 exons. The record is from RefSeq and is a predicted model, not a curated record.